UACAGAGGGUGCUAGCGUUGUUCGGAAUCAUUGGGCGUAAAGCGCGUGUAGGCGGCUAGGCAAGUCGGUUGUGAAAGCCCGGGGCCCAACCCCGGAACUGCAUCUGAAACUGCCUGGCUAGAGUCCCGGAGAGGAAGGCAGAAUUCCCGGUGUAGGGGUGAAAUCCGUAGAUAUCGGGAGGAAUACCAGCGGCGAAGGCGGCCUUCUGGACGGUGACUGACGCUGAGACGCGAAAGCGUGGGGAGCAAACAGG
RNAcentral lists this ribosomal RNA (253 nucleotides) under uncultured bacterium. RNAcentral describes it as "partial 16S ribosomal RNA". It matches the Rfam family "Bacterial small subunit ribosomal RNA", at positions 524 to 776 of the family's 1533-position model. The record is from RNAcentral.